AUUGAACGCUGGCGGCAGGCCUAACACAUGCAAGUCGAGCGGAUGAACGGAGCUUGUUCCUGGCUUCAGCGGCGGACGGGUGAGUAAUGCCUAGGAAUCUGCCUGGUAGUUGGGGAUAACGUCCGGAAGCGGGCGCUAAUACCGCAUACGACCUGAUGGAGAAAGUGGGGGAUCUUCGGACCUCACGCUAUCAGAUGAGCCUAGGUCGGAUUAGCUAGUUGGUGGGGUAAAGGCCUACCAAGGCGACGAUCCGUAACUGGUCUGCGAGGAUGAUCAGUCACACUGGAACUGAGACACGGUCCAGACUCCUACGGGAGGCAGCAGUGGGGAAUAUUGGACAAUGGGCGAAAGCCUGAUCCAGCCAUGCCGCGUGUGUGAAGAAGGUCUUCGGAUUGUAAAGCACUUUAAGUUGGGAGGAAGGGCAGUAAGUUAAUACCUUGCUGUUUUGACGUUACCAACAGAAUAAGCACCGGCUAACUUCGUG
This 484-nucleotide ribosomal RNA is filed under the name uncultured bacterium. RNAcentral describes it as "partial 16S ribosomal RNA". It matches the Rfam family "Bacterial small subunit ribosomal RNA", at positions 30 to 507 of the family's 1533-position model. The record is from RNAcentral.